This 403-nucleotide ribosomal RNA is filed under the name Verrucomicrobiota bacterium. RNAcentral describes it as "Verrucomicrobia bacterium partial 16S ribosomal RNA". It matches the Rfam family "Bacterial small subunit ribosomal RNA", at positions 355 to 776 of the family's 1533-position model. The record is from RNAcentral. Lineage: Bacteria; Pseudomonadati; Verrucomicrobiota.
UGGGGAAUUUUGCACAAUGGGGGAAACCCUGAUGCAGCGACGCCGCGUGAUUUAGAAGGCCUUCGGGUUGUAAAAAUCUUUUCUAUGGGAAGAAAAUGACAGUACCAUAGGAAUAAGGACCGGCUAAUUACGUGCCAGCAGCCGCGGUAAUACGUAGGGGGCUAGCGUUGUCCGGAAUCACUGGGCGUAAAGGGUUCGCAGGCGGAAUAACAAGUCAGAUGUGAAAGGCAUGGGCUCAACCCAUGUAAGCAUUUGAAACUGUAAUUCUUGAGAAGUGGAGAGGUAAGUGGAAUUCCUAGUGUAGCGGUGAAAUGCGUAGAUAUUAGGAGGAAUACCUGUGGCGAAGGCGACUUACUGGACACAAAUCUGACGCUGAGGAACGAAAGCGUGGGUAGCAAACAGG